Small nuclear RNA from Ochotona princeps (American pika), 72 nucleotides. Lineage: Eukaryota; Metazoa; Chordata; Mammalia; Lagomorpha; Ochotonidae. The record is from Ensembl.
GUGCUUGCUUCAGCAGCACCUAUGCUAAAAUUGGAAUGAUACAGAGCAGAUUAGCAUGGCCCCUGAGCAAGG